RNAcentral lists this ribosomal RNA (2922 nucleotides) under Klebsiella pneumoniae. RNAcentral's name for it is "bacterial LSU rRNA". It matches the Rfam family "Bacterial large subunit ribosomal RNA". Lineage: Bacteria; Pseudomonadati; Pseudomonadota; Gammaproteobacteria; Enterobacterales; Enterobacteriaceae. The record is from RNAcentral.
GGGUUGUGAGGUUAAGCGACUAAGCGUACACGGUGGAUGCCCUGGCAGUCAGAGGCGAUGAAGGACGUGCUAAUCUGCGAAAAGCGUCGGUAAGGUGAUAUGAACCGUUAUAACCGGCGAUGUCCGAAUGGGGAAACCCAGUGCAAUUCGUUGCACUAUCGUUAACUGAAUACAUAGGUUAACGAGGCGAACCGGGGGAACUGAAACAUCUAAGUACCCCGAGGAAAAGAAAUCAACCGAGAUUCCCCCAGUAGCGGCGAGCGAACGGGGAGCAGCCCAGAGUCUGAAUCAGCUUGUGUGUUAGUGGAACGGUCUGGAAAGUCCGACGGUACAGGGUGAUAGUCCCGUACACCAAAAUGCACAGGUUGUGAACUCGAAGAGUAGGGCGGGACACGUGGUAUCCUGUCUGAAUAUGGGGGGACCAUCCUCCAAGGCUAAAUACUCCUGACUGACCGAUAGUGAACCAGUACCGUGAGGGAAAGGCGAAAAGAACCCCGGCGAGGGGAGUGAAAAAGAACCUGAAACCGUGUACGUACAAGCAGUGGGAGCACCUUCGGGUGUGACUGCGUACCUUUUGUAUAAUGGGUCAGCGACUUAUAUUCUGUAGCAAGGUUAACCGUAUAGGGGAGCCGCAGGGAAACCGAGUCUUAACUGGGCGUUAAGUUGCAGGGUAUAGACCCGAAACCCGGUGAUCUAGCCAUGGGCAGGUUGAAGGUUGGGUAACACUAACUGGAGGACCGAACCGACUAAUGUUGAAAAAUUAGCGGAUGACUUGUGGCUGGGGGUGAAAGGCCAAUCAAACCGGGAGAUAGCUGGUUCUCCCCGAAAGCUAUUUAGGUAGCGCCUCGUGAAUUCAUCUUCGGGGUAGAGCACUGUUUCGGCUAGGGGGUCAUCCCGACUUACCAACCCGAUGCAAACUACGAAUACCGAAGAAUGUUAUCACGGGAGACACACGGCGGGUGCUAACGUCCGUCGUGAAGAGGGAAACAACCCAGACCGCCAGCUAAGGUCCCAAAGUCAUGGUUAAGUGGGAAACGAUGUGGGAAGGCACAGACAGCCAGGAUGUUGGCUUAGAAGCAGCCAUCAUUUAAAGAAAGCGUAAUAGCUCACUGGUCGAGUCGGCCUGCGCGGAAGAUGUAACGGGGCUAAACCAUGCACCGAAGCUGCGGCAGCGACACUAUGUGUUGUUGGGUAGGGGAGCGUUCUGUAAGCCUGCGAAGGUGACCUGUGAGGGUUGCUGGAGGUAUCAGAAGUGCGAAUGCUGACAUAAGUAACGAUAAAGCGGGUGAAAAGCCCGCUCGCCGGAAGACCAAGGGUUCCUGUCCAACGUUAAUCGGGGCAGGGUGAGUCGACCCCUAAGGCGAGGCCGAAAGGCGUAGUCGAUGGGAAACAGGUUAAUAUUCCUGUACUUGGUGUUACUGCGAAGGGGGGACGGAGAAGGCUAUGUUAGCCGGGCGACGGUUGUCCCGGUUUAAGCAUGUAGGCUGGUUGUCCAGGCAAAUCCGGAUAAUCAAGGCUGAGGUGUGAUGACGAGGCACUACGGUGCUGAAGUAACAAAUGCCCUGCUUCCAGGAAAAGCCUCUAAGCAUCAGGUAACAUCAAAUCGUACCCCAAACCGACACAGGUGGUCAGGUAGAGAAUACCAAGGCGCUUGAGAGAACUCGGGUGAAGGAACUAGGCAAAAUGGUGCCGUAACUUCGGGAGAAGGCACGCUGGUGUGUAGGUGAAGUCCCUGCGGAUGGAGCUGAGACCAGUCGAAGAUACCAGCUGGCUGCAACUGUUUAUUAAAAACACAGCACUGUGCAAACACGAAAGUGGACGUAUACGGUGUGACGCCUGCCCGGUGCCGGAAGGUUAAUUGAUGGGGUUAUCCGUAAGGAGAAGCUCUUGAUCGAAGCCCCGGUAAACGGCGGCCGUAACUAUAACGGUCCUAAGGUAGCGAAAUUCCUUGUCGGGUAAGUUCCGACCUGCACGAAUGGCGUAAUGAUGGCCAGGCUGUCUCCACCCGAGACUCAGUGAAAUUGAACUCGCUGUGAAGAUGCAGUGUACCCGCGGCAAGACGGAAAGACCCCGUGAACCUUUACUAUAGCUUGACACUGAACAUUGAGCCUUGAUGUGUAGGAUAGGUGGGAGGCUUUGAAGCGUGGACGCCAGUCUGCGUGGAGCCAACCUUGAAAUACCACCCUUUAAUGUUUGAUGUUCUAACGUUGGCCCCUUACCGGGGUUGCGGACAGUGUCUGGUGGGUAGUUUGACUGGGGCGGUCUCCUCCCAAAGCGUAACGGAGGAGCACGAAGGUUAGCUAAUCCUGGUCGGACAUCAGGAGGUUAGUGCAAUGGCAUAAGCUAGCUUGACUGCGAGCGUGACGGCGCGAGCAGGUGCGAAAGCAGGUCAUAGUGAUCCGGUGGUUCUGAAUGGAAGGGCCAUCGCUCAACGGAUAAAAGGUACUCCGGGGAUAACAGGCUGAUACCGCCCAAGAGUUCAUAUCGACGGCGGUGUUUGGCACCUCGAUGUCGGCUCAUCACAUCCUGGGGCUGAAGUAGGUCCCAAGGGUAUGGCUGUUCGCCAUUUAAAGUGGUACGCGAGCUGGGUUUAGAACGUCGUGAGACAGUUCGGUCCCUAUCUGCCGUGGGCGCUGGAGAAUUGAGGGGGGCUGCUCCUAGUACGAGAGGACCGGAGUGGACGCAUCACUGGUGUUCGGGUUGUCAUGCCAAUGGCACUGCCCGGUAGCUAAAUGCGGAAGAGAUAAGUGCUGAAAGCAUCUAAGCACGAAACUUGCCCCGAGAUGAGUUCUCCCUGAGACUUUAAGUCUCCUGAAGGAACGUUAAAGACGAUGACGUUGAUAGGCCGGGUGUGUAAGCGCAGCGAUGCGUUGAGCUAACCGGUACUAAUGAACCGUGAGGCUUAACCUUACAACGCCGAAG